UGGGCAGCUGUGAGAGGGCCUUUGCUAAGCCUGGUGUCCCUGGGGGCGCGGGCCCUCCCCUAGGCCCGGCAGCAGCAGGAACUGCCAGCUCCUUCCUGUAGGCCGGCAGUGUGAGGAGUCGCCUUGGUCGCCGAGGUGUCACCUGGGGAGGCUGCUGCUUGGCGCUGGAGACGCGGCGAGAGGAAGCAGAACGGGAAGCACGCACACAAACAACAGCUCCCACUCCCCGUGCCCAGGCACCUUCGAGGUGGGGGUGUGCGCUGCCCAGUCACACGGACCCUCUGCCACUCCAGUUCAACUUUCCUUUUUUGGAGUGACGUCUCAGCAGAUUCGCUUCUACCAUCUGGCAACAUCUGAGAACCCCCAGGGAGAGAGGGGAGCGGCGGCUGCGGCGGAGAGGCUGCUGCGGCUUCCAGGGACACCCCCCGCCCCGCGCGUCCGCCCCUCCAAGGAGCGGUGCCGGGCCUUCUGCAGCCUGGGCCCCUCUGCACCCCUCAGGCCUUGAGUUGGGAGUAUUUGGGGGCCCCCUAUGGAAAGGGAAGUGUAUGAGGGGUGCAGUUUGGAACUGGAGGGAUCAUAGGUCAGGGGCCCCCUCUCUUCCGGCCCCAUCCGCCCGCCCCCUGGCGCCCACCCAGACUGCGUGGGAACCCCCAUGGACAGGCCAAGCCUGAGGGAGGCCCCUGGCUCCCUCCCCGGGCCCUGGGGUGGGAGUGGACCGAGCCCUCACCAGCCUCCCGAAGCUGCUCUCUGGAGUCACCUGAAAUCACCCCUGGAUUUGCAUCUCCGUGAGACCUGCUCUGGGGUGGUGCAGGAGGAACCGCCGGGGCUCUUUCCUGUGCAAGGCUGUUGCCUUCCACGGCCCAGGGAACAGUACCCAUGCUCUGAGCCUGUGUUACAGACAGAGAAACUGAGGCGCGGGAGAUUAAGAACCUAAGCCCUGCAGCUGACCCGGGCAGCUGGUGCUCCGGCCUGGGUGUCCCAGCCUUGACUCAAGGAGGAGCAGGAAGCCCUGCAGCAUCCCCCCACUCGCUCCCAGGGCCACGCUUUCUGCAGCCCCGCACCCCCUUGAGCAACUCGAGCCCCCAGCAGCUUGGAACAACUGCCAGAGAGCACCGUGCCCCUCCCAGGAACCCGGACUGCAGUUGCCGGUAAUAAAUAAUCACUGACAGCGA
This is a long non-coding RNA of Chinchilla lanigera (long-tailed chinchilla), 1172 nucleotides long. RefSeq lists it as uncharacterized. The record is from RefSeq and is a predicted model, not a curated record. The transcript is spliced from 2 exons. NCBI's taxonomy places the organism in Eukaryota, Metazoa, Chordata, Mammalia, Rodentia, Chinchillidae.